Molecule: ribosomal RNA, 497 nt
Filed under: uncultured bacterium
Lineage: Bacteria
Description: partial 16S ribosomal RNA
Rfam family: Bacterial small subunit ribosomal RNA
Source: RNAcentral
GAUGAACGCUGGCGGCGUGCCUAAUACAUGCAAGUCGAGCGAACAGAUAAGGAGCUUGCUCCUUUGACGUUAGCGGCGGACGGGUGAGUAACACGUGGGUAACCUACCUAUAGGACUGGGAUAACUUCGGGAAACCGGAGCUAAUACCGGAUAACAUUUGGAACCGCAUGGUUCUAAAGUGAAAGAUGGUUUUGCUAUCACUUAUAGAUGGGCCCGCGCCGUAUUAGCUAGUUGGUAAGGUAACGGCUUACCAAGGCGACGAUACGUAGCCGACCUGAGAGGGUGAUCGGCCACACUGGAACUGAGACACGGUCCAGACUCCUACGGGAGGCAGCAGUAGGGAAUCUUCCGCAAUGGGCGAAAGCCUGACGGAGCAACGCCGCGUGAGUGAUGAAGGGUUUCGGCUCGUAAAACUCUGUUAUUAGGGAAGAGCAAAUGUGUAAGUAACUGUGCACGUCUUGACGGUACCUAAUCAGAAAGCCACGGCUAACUACGUG